CUGCCCUUCACUCUGGGACAAGCCCUGGAAACGGGGUCUAAUACCGGAUAACACUUCUGCUCUCAUGGGCAGGGGUUAAAAGCUCCGGCGGUGAAGGAUGAGCCCGCGGCCUAUCAGCUUGUUGGUGAGGUAAUGGCUCACCAAGGCGACGACGGGUAGCCGGCCUGAGAGGGCGACCGGCCACACUGGGACUGAGACACGGCCCAGACUCCUACGGGAGGCAGCAGUGGGGAAUAUUGCACAAUGGGCGAAAGCCUGAUGCAGCGACGCCGCGUGAGGGAUGACGGCCUUCGGGUUGUAAACCUCUUUCAGCAGGGAAGAAGCGAAAGUGACGGUACCUGCAGAAGAAGCGCCGGCUAACUACGUGCCAGCAGCCGCGGUAAUACGUAGGGCGCAAGCGUUGUCCGGAAUUAUUGGGCGUAAAGAGCUCGUAGGCGGCUUGUCACGUCGGGUGUGAAAGCCCGGGGCUUAACCCCGGGUCUGCAUUCGAUACGGGCUAGCUAGAGUGUGGUAGGGGAGAUCGGAAUUCCUGGUGUAGCGGUGAAAUGCGCAGAUAUCAGGAGGAACACCGGUGGCGAAGGCGGAU
This 586-nucleotide ribosomal RNA is filed under the name Streptomyces sp. GLT-Irr-11. Its description in RNAcentral is "bacterial SSU rRNA". It matches the Rfam family "Bacterial small subunit ribosomal RNA", at positions 126 to 726 of the family's 1533-position model. Lineage: Bacteria; Bacillati; Actinomycetota; Actinomycetes; Kitasatosporales; Streptomycetaceae. The record is from RNAcentral.